GGGAAUGCAACAAUUGAGAGCCUCAGUCAGCCAGCACUACAGAAUAACUUGGCCAUUACAGUGCUGUUUAUGAAAGCAAACCACCUUGAGAAACGAGUCCUUUUAUUUUUUGACUGGCUGGAGCUUAUGAUCUUCGUCUUUUCUGGUGAAUAACGUCUGCCUUCCAGCAUUGCAAUAGCAGAAAUAAGGAUUUUAUGUUCUAGCCCAUACUGUUCACCUCCACUGCAAUUCAGGCUGCAAAGUUAUUUCCAUUCUGAACUUCGGUUCCCAUUUUUCUUUUAAGUUUUUGCAAAACUUCUUUGGGGAGAAAGUCUCUUCCAAGGCAUUUAAGCCAAGUAAUAGCUUUAACAGUUUUUGCAUUAUGAAGGCUGACAAGAUAUACUAUCUCCUAAAGCUAAGACUGUUUUUUCAAGCAGAAAACUGCAAGAAAUAACUGCAAAUGAGACUUAUGCUAAAAUAUGGAUAAAACUCGGAAGUUAAAACUUCCUGUGAAAUUAGUACUUGCUGCAGAGCACAGCCUUUGUUCUGUCUGAAAUAUUUGGUGUUUUAAAUUUGCAAACUAAUGACAAUUUUAGAGCUCAUGGAGUAAAUCUUAGGUCUUCCAGGACACUUGAGAAAUAAUACCUCUUAUAGAGUGUUCUUAAUCGAUAACUCUGAAGGCAUUUCAUGCUGAUCAGAGUAAGGGCUAACCAGAUAUAGGUUCUUAAAAAAAAUUCAGGGUUUUUCCAUGCUGAAGUAGAAGCAAAUUUCCAGCCUUCCAAAAGUUCUAAUAAAAACCAGGAGACUGUUAGCAUACCAUAUGUUAAGCAUAUCCAAGCUGAAGGGGAUUUGCCUUCAAGCCCAGAGUAGGCCUUGCAUUUAAAUGUGACCUUACUACUGUGUUGCUUGCAGUCAUUUUGCUCCUGUGGUGGGAGAUGUUCACACUGACAGGGAUGAGCCGUGAGAUGAGUUUGUGGCUGAGCAGCUGGCUGGAAGAUGGAAACAGCCAAACUUCCGAAUCCCUCUCUUGGUUCAUGCAGGUUUGGUUUGAGUCUGCCGUCUUCUGUAAGAGGAUAUGCUGCCCUUUCAUCUGUUCCAGUGACGUGGUGAAGGGCAGGGGAUCUUCACCUAUUUCUCCUUUGUGAAUUACAACUCAUACCAGCUGCCUUACAUGGAGCACUAAGAUGCUGUUUUCCAUUUACUCCUCCCCAUCUGAGGCAGAGCACUCUCUCUGAUGAUAUGGGACAUCUCCCACUGGACCAGAGACACUUGCCUGCCGCACAGAAAUUCUUAUGACAGAUAUAUUCCUAGGGAAGCCUUGUUUUCUUAUAUCACAGUUUUACAGCCAGAAAAAAAUAUUUUAUCAACAUGCCAACCUCCAAGUCAGCAUCAUAGCAUCAUCUUCUCAGAGAGGAAAGACAAGAUAUCUGUGGCAGAGCUGGGUGUAAGACAUAAGCUUCCAGUGUUAUGCACAUUCAGCACUUUGCCUUAGACUUGGCUGUGGAGAACAACUGCAGUAUUAACAGCAGUGAGUGCUUUCAGAUACAGUGCUGUGAAUCUGGAUGACUACAUGAAUUUAAGUGUCAGGGGGCUGCAAUUACAUCAGGGUAACCCAGUCAGAAUUUGGUUAGCAUUGUGUGGAGCAAUUUUGUGUCUCUGUAGGCUGUGGCCAAAUCACAUGCGGGAGUUGUGUUUAGAUAAAGUAAUAGUUGUGUAGGCAAAGCAAAUACUCGAAUGUGAAAGGGAUCCAGUGUAGUGGGAUCACUUUGUCCUGAGCCUGCUUCUGCUGAGACCUGGGAGAGGGUCAGCUCCCCCAUGCCAAUCCACUCCUACACCAGCUCAGUUUAAAAGCUCCUGGAGACAGCAAGAGGCUAUUGUCCAGCUGGAAGACUAUAGUGGGCCACCUAUCUUCUUCCAAGAAAAUGGCUUUUACAGCUUACCUAUGGUGUCAGGAGCUGAAGGAAAUAAUGUAGGACAUCCCUAAGCUUUCGUGCCUUGGAUAUUGUUUGUACUCUUGGAUGAGGAAUUCUCCCUUCUUCCCAAAACAUGUCCUCUGGCAGCACUCCAGAGGGCAUAAGGAGCCAGUGCUCUUGGUCACCCUUUCAGAAGGACAUGUGCAUCCUUGCCCAGCUGAGAGGAGGAUGGUGGAUCCAGCAGGAGAAAUCUCUGUCUGAGGCUAUUCCACUUUUACUCAGGCCCAAGCAGAGAGGUGACCCUGGCAUACUGGUGGUAGGCAGGGGGGCAGCUGCAAUGCCCUGGUGCUCUGUGCACCCCGAGAGAUCCAGCAGCUUAGAGAGCUGAGGAAUUGGCCGGAACAGCUGCCUGGGCUCUCCUCAGCCACCCAGGAAAAACUCGAGACUAUGGCAGGGGCAGAAGAAGCCCUGCCUGAACAGCAAGGGGUAAGAUCUCCCUAUCCCUAAACCACUGUGACUUGGUAAUGUGCUCUCUGCUUCCUUAUACCACCAAAGGGCUGUCACCAAAACAGACACACUUGGCUGGCUGCUGGAAGUAAAUCUGGGCAGAGAAGAGCAAGGAGCACCAUAUUCCCCCCUAAAUAAGAAACUCUCAGAAUUUCCCCUCACCCUGUUGGAGCAUUUAACUUUCCACCCAUGAGAUCCCAAAAUGGCAAACGAAAAUGACUGCAGAGGAGCUUUUAGAUCAGCAAUGCUCAGAUGAUGCUGAGAGGCCUCUUCUAUGGUAAUCCCACUGCUACAUUUUCCAGUCUCACCUUGGAAACCUUCUACCAAUCGAGGAAACCUCCAGUUUAUCCAGAAGUGAUCCCCAGGACUGCAGUGUGCCCUGGGUGGGCACAGACACGAGAAGUUUCCUUUGACUCCAGUCAAGCUGAAGAAAGCUGUGGGGUGGUGGGCAUGUCACUUGCAUUGUCCCACCCAGAGCAGUCACCUCCUGUCCAAGCUAUCCAGUGAUUUGGCAGAGCAAACCAAAAAAAGGCAAGGCAAGGCUGUAACUGUUUUCUCUCAUCACCCUAAUAAUCCUUUGUGCUCUGAGGAAAUUGCCACAAACAUACUUGCUAUGCCUUCAAGUCCCAUGUCCAAAUUUAUGGAGAUGUUGAAGAAGAGACAUGUGGAAGAGAAUACUGUGCUCUAUCACAGGAGACAACUAGUGGUGACCCUCAGCUGAGAUGGCAAUUGCCACAUGGCCCAGCUAUCCCUUCCUACAGUUUCAAUACUCCUGUCUGAGAUGUCUUGGUGAAGUGCCUGAAGUUACAAAGGAGGGAGAGAGAACAUCAAUCUGCAUCUGCUCUCUCCUGCAGAGAGUUGUCAUCAGUCAUCUUGUCUGGACUAGCAGAAAUCCCCGAGGAAGAUUUCAAUCCAUUUGCAAGCACUGCUGUGAGAAGAAAAGAUACCACAAGUUUUCAAAAUGACCUCCAGCACAUCUAGAGUUAAAAGCUCCUUACAAGUAUUGUCUCUGCAUCAUAAGGUUCUUUGUUCAGAAAUUUAUCACUGGGUCACACAAAAAAACACCACUCUGGACCAAAAGUCAGUCUACAAGAGUUCAGCUAAGAAACACUAAUUCCUGGAGCUUUGACCCCUUCUUUUUUCUAGCACUGAAAUAGAAAAGAUUUUAUGUGUUCUACUGUUUCCAGGCAUGAGUAUACUCCUAUUACUCAGAAAACUACUGUAAUUUUAAAACAAAAAAUUGCCAGCUUAUAGAUGAGAUUGCUGACAAUGUUUGAAGCAUCAGGUGAUCUCUGUCAUGCUGGUGGCCAGAGAUGGCUCAGCUGUCAUUCAGAAGCACACACACUCUCCUAGGACAUCUCCUUGCUUUUAUUUAGGCUAACCUCCCUCUAGCACCCACAGGGGUGUGUUAUAGCAUGGGUCACUAGGGAAGGUAUCACUCAGUUUCUGUCCCUCCCCACAGCAAGCAACACCCACAGUUUGCAGUGGGGAAAUGUGCUCUAUACGGACACACAAGCACUGGAACAGCCCAGAGGGGAAUCUAGGACUGUUGCUGUGUUUUAUUCUGACUUGCCAUGGAGCUGCACCAGACUCUACUGCUUGCAGAGUUUUCCAGCAAGGCCACUCCUCAGGGGAGCUGAAAGGGCAUUGGAUUGGGGCAGGUGAGAGCUGGCCCAGCUUCAUUCAAAACCAUUUCUAGCAAGGGUUUUGUACUGACAUACAAGGGGUUCACUGCGCUCUGCUUUGAGUGCUGAAGUUAAAUUAAAAAAAAAAUUAAGUCCAAAUUAAAAA
Long non-coding RNA from Parus major (Great Tit), 4190 nucleotides. RefSeq lists it as uncharacterized. The transcript has 7 exons. The record is from RefSeq and is a predicted model, not a curated record. NCBI's taxonomy places the organism in Eukaryota, Metazoa, Chordata, Aves, Passeriformes, Paridae.